Molecule: ribosomal RNA, 468 nt
Filed under: uncultured bacterium
Lineage: Bacteria
Description: partial 16S ribosomal RNA
Rfam family: Bacterial small subunit ribosomal RNA
Source: RNAcentral
GACGAACGCUGGCGGCGUGCUUAACACAUGCAAGUCGAACGGAAAGGCCCUGCUUUUGUGGGGUGCUCGAGUGGCGAACGGGUGAGUAACACGUGAGUAACCUGCCCUUGACUUUGGGAUAACUUCAGGAAACUGGGGCUAAUACCGGAUAGGAGCUCCUGCUGCAUGGUGGGGGUUGGAAAGUUUCGGCGGUUGGGGAUGGACUCGCGGCUUAUCAGCUUGUUGGUGGGGUAGUGGCUUACCAAGGCUUUGACGGGUAGCCGGCCUGAGAGGGUGACCGGCCACAUUGGGACUGAGAUACGGCCCAGACUACUACGGGAGGCAGCAGGGAGGAAUAUUGCACAAUGGGCGGAAGCCUGAUGCAGCAACGCCGCGUGCGGGAUGACGGCCUUCGGGUUGUAAACCGCUUUCGCCUGUGACGAAGCGUGAGUGACGGUAAUGGGUAAAGAAGCACCGGCUAACUACGUG